AUUGAACGCUGGCGGCAUGCUUUACACAUGCAAGUCGAACGGCAGCACGGGGGCAACCCUGGUGGCGAGUGGCGAACGGGUGAGUAAUAUAUCGGAACGUACCCGGAAAUGGGGGAUAACGUAGCGAAAGUUACGCUAAUACCGCAUAUGCCCUAAGGGGGAAAGCGGGGGAUUCGCAAGAACCUCGCGUUUUCGGAGCGGCCGAUAUCGGAUUAGCUAGUAGGUGAGGUAAAGGCUCACCUAGGCGACGAUCCGUAGCUGGUCUGAGAGGACGACCAGCCACACUGGAACUGAGACACGGUCCAGACUCCUACGGGAGCAGCAGUGGGGAAUUUUGGACAAUGGGCGCAAGCCUGAUCCAGCCAUGCCGCGUGAGUGAAG
RNAcentral lists this ribosomal RNA (381 nucleotides) under uncultured bacterium. RNAcentral describes it as "bacterial SSU rRNA". It matches the Rfam family "Bacterial small subunit ribosomal RNA", at positions 30 to 410 of the family's 1533-position model. The record is from RNAcentral.